CCUACGGGAGGCAGCAGUGAGGAAUAUUGGUCAAUGGCCGGAAGGCUGAACCAGCCAAGCCGCGUGAAGGACGAAGGUGCCAAGCAUUGUAAACUUCUUUUGUCAAGGGACAAAAUCAGGCGCGAGAGCCUGAACGAGUGUACUUUAAGAAAAAGCAUCGGCUAACUCCGCGCCAGCAGCCGCGGUAAUACGGAGGAUGCGAGCGUUAUCCGGAUUUAUUGGGUUUAAAGGGUGCGUAGGCGGGCUGUUAAGUCAGCGGUAAAAGCCCGGGGCUAAACCCCGGCGAGCCGUUGAAACUGGCUGUCUUGAGAGGUGGAGAGGUAUGCGGAAUGCGCAGGGUAGCGGUGAAAUGCUUAGAUAUUGGGAAGAACUCC
RNAcentral lists this ribosomal RNA (374 nucleotides) under uncultured bacterium. Its description in RNAcentral is "partial 16S ribosomal RNA". It matches the Rfam family "Bacterial small subunit ribosomal RNA", at positions 338 to 710 of the family's 1533-position model. The record is from RNAcentral.